GAUCUUCAACUUCGUAGUUCACUUCGCUACGCAAAUCCUACUCCUCAAGCUCUAAAUGACUCCAGAUGACUCCUCGAAGUGCUAAAAUUAUGCCUAAAACAACAGAGAAUACACACUUAGGAACUAAUCAAACAGAACGAAAACAUCAUGCAUGCGAACGAAACCAAGAAAAAUGGAUAGAUCUUACCAUAAUCUAUCUUUUCUUCAACUUCAUCAUCUUCGAUAUCCAAUUCUAAAUCGGCCGAAAUCACGAGUGAAAGUGGCUACCAAGUUUUUCUUUGGCUUGUGUAUUCUUCUACACUUAG
Molecule: long non-coding RNA, 305 nt
Filed under: Triticum aestivum (bread wheat)
Lineage: Eukaryota; Viridiplantae; Streptophyta; Magnoliopsida; Poales; Poaceae
Description: long non-coding RNA (TAES_LNC010052)
Source: RNAcentral